Long non-coding RNA from Zalophus californianus (California sea lion), 365 nucleotides. RefSeq lists it as uncharacterized. NCBI's taxonomy places the organism in Eukaryota, Metazoa, Chordata, Mammalia, Carnivora, Otariidae. The record is from RefSeq and is a predicted model, not a curated record. The transcript has 3 exons.
AUUGAAUAUUAACCCUAAGAAGAAUUGAGGAGGCAAUGUGGACACACAGCUAUGUGACUUAUCAACAACGUUGGCUUUUCCAGAGUCAAUAGAAGAAGCCUGCAGUACCCCAACAUUUUCUAGAGAUGUCUGCUUCGAUGGACAUAUGACACAAAGUUACAGGUCCAGAGGACAUACCAUGAAAUAAAAUGUGUCCUACAAUGGCCAGCACCAAACGUCCGUGACUAGAUGAGGAGAAACAAGAUCUGAAACAUACAAGGGCUCACAAAAGCUUCAGGUUUUAUAAAACUUGGAUCCAUGCCUGCUCAUGGGGCUAAUAUUUUACUGGGAAGAGAAAGACAAAAACUAAUAUAACAUAGUCAAAG